UAGAGUUUGAUCAUGGCUCAGAUUGAACGCUGGCGGCAGGCCUAACACAUGCAAGUCGAGCGGUAGAGAGAAGCUUGCUUCUCUUGAGAGCGGCGGACGGGUGAGUAAUGCCUAGGAAUCUGCCUAGUGGUGGGGGAUAACGUUCGGAAACGGACGCUAAUACCGCAUACGUCCUACGGGAGAAAGCGGGGGACCUUCGGGCCUCGCGCCAUUAGAUGAGCCUAGGUCGGAUUAGCUAGUUGGUGAGGUAAAGGCUCACCAAGGCGACGAUCCGUAACUGGUCUGAGAGGAUGAUCAGUCACACUGGAACUGAGACACGGUCCAGACUCCUACGGGAGGCAGCAGUGGGGAAUAUUGGACAAUGGGCGAAAGCCUGAUCCAGCCAUGCCGCGUGUGUGAAGAAGGUCUUCGGAUUGUAAAGCACUUUAAGUUGGGAGGAAGGGUAGUAACUUAAUACGUUGCUGCUUUGAAGUACCGACAGAAUAA
Molecule: ribosomal RNA, 486 nt
Filed under: Pseudomonas anguilliseptica
Lineage: Bacteria; Pseudomonadati; Pseudomonadota; Gammaproteobacteria; Pseudomonadales; Pseudomonadaceae
Description: bacterial SSU rRNA
Rfam family: Bacterial small subunit ribosomal RNA
Source: RNAcentral